This 460-nucleotide ribosomal RNA is filed under the name uncultured bacterium. RNAcentral describes it as "partial 16S ribosomal RNA". It matches the Rfam family "Bacterial small subunit ribosomal RNA", at positions 338 to 795 of the family's 1533-position model. The record is from RNAcentral.
CCUACGGGUGGCAGCAGUGAGGAAUAUUGGUCAAUGGUCGGGAGACUGAACCAGCCAAGCCGCGUGAGGGAUGAAGGUCCAGAGUAUCGUAAACCUCUUUUGUCAGGGAACAAAGGCGGGGACGUGUCCCCGGAUGAGUGUACCUGAAGAAAAAGCAUCGGCUAACUCCGUGCCAGCAGCCGCGGUAAUACGGAGGAUGCGAGCGUUAUCCGGAUUUAUUGGGUUUAAAGGGUGCGCAGGCGGUCUUUUAAGUCAGCGGUCAAAGCCCGGGGCUCAACCCCUGCCCGCCCUUUGAAACGGGCAGUCUUGAGUUGGAGAGAGGUAGGCGGAAUGCGCGGUGUAGCGGUGAAAUGCAUAGAUAUCGGGAAGAACUCCGAUUGCGAAGGCAGCAUGCCGGCUCCACACUGACGCUGAGGCACGAAAGCGUGGGUAGCGAACAGGAUUAGAUACCCUAGUAGUC